GGCGCGUUGGCAGAGUGGUUAUGCAGCGGAUUGCAAAUCCGCGAACAUCGGUUCGAUUCCGGAACGCGCCU
This 71-nucleotide transfer RNA is filed under the name Candidatus Palibaumannia cicadellinicola. RNAcentral describes it as "Candidatus Baumannia cicadellinicola tRNA". It matches the Rfam family "tRNA". Rfam says of the family: Transfer RNA (tRNA) molecules are approximately 80 nucleotides in length. The record is from Rfam by way of RNAcentral. Lineage: Bacteria; Pseudomonadati; Pseudomonadota; Gammaproteobacteria.